RNAcentral lists this ribosomal RNA (589 nucleotides) under Ancilla sp. MNHN IM 2013-51964. RNAcentral's name for it is "partial 12S ribosomal RNA". The record is from RNAcentral. Lineage: Eukaryota; Metazoa; Mollusca; Gastropoda; Neogastropoda; Olividae.
GACCAAUGGAUAUAGUUGUAUUUUAAUGGUUAAAGGAUAGUUAGGUUAAGAAGUAGAAGAAGAUUUAAAGGGUGGUAUCAUAGAAGACUUAUGUAGAGGUAAAAUUUGGGUAUAAGGUUGGUAUUUUUGUAGUGAUCUUGGGAGCUGAAGCUGUGAAAUUUUGGAUGGAAACUGGGAUUAGAUACCCCAUUAUCCCUGAAUGUAAAUUAUAAUGUGAGUUUACCAGAAUAGUACGGAUUAAGAUGUAGUUGUUUAAAAUUCAAAGGACUUGGCGGUGUUUUAGACUUCUUAGGGGAACCUGUCUCAUAAUCGAUGAUCCACGUUGUACCUAACCUUCUUUUGUGUUGACAGUUUGUAUACCGUCGUCGUCAGGCAACCUUUUAGAGAUUGAGGAGUUGGCAGGAGAACAAUGAGUUUAGAGUUAGUUGUUACGUCAGAUCAAGGUGCAGCUGAUGUGAGGGUGAGGAUGGGUUACAAUUAUAAGAGUUGUAAUUACGGACUUGAUUGCUGAAAUGGUGAUAAUGAUGAAGGAGGACUUAAAAGUAAGAACAGAAUAGAUGGAUGUUUUGAAUUAGGCUCUGAAGCGUGU